RNAcentral lists this long non-coding RNA (739 nucleotides) under Bos grunniens (domestic yak). Its description in RNAcentral is "lncRNA (ENSBGRG00000011545.1)". Lineage: Eukaryota; Metazoa; Chordata; Mammalia; Artiodactyla; Bovidae. The record is from RNAcentral.
CUCGGGGCCUCGGACGGGGCGGGGCGGCCUUCCGUGCCGCCGGACCUCACCCCUCCCGGCCCGGGUCGCCCCGUCCGCCGGGAGGGCGCUCGCAGCCCAGGCUUCGGGGAGAGCGCGGCGGUGAGACGCGGCUCCACGUGAGCCAAAGCUGCGGAAACACCGCGCUCUCCCCCGAGCUUCGCGGCGAGGCGUGUAACCCUACACCCGGGGCGCGGGGGCGGAGGGGGGAGGCUCGGCCUGCGGCUGGCGGCUGUCGGGGUGGAAGCCGAGGAAUGCCCUUUGUCUGGACAACUUUUCCGGAGGAGGCGCCCUCUCCCAGGGGCUGUCUCCUUGGAGGUCAAGGGGGAGGGAACGGAGCCCCAACUAUUUCCAAACCUAUUUCUCCACAACAAACUAUAAGAGAAUUAGGACCCAGGAGAUUCCGGAAAUCUCUACAAAGGGAAAGUGCUGAUCAUCUUUCCGACUGCUAACAAGCUUCACUGUCCAGCGCCCGUUGCUCUCUGUUUGCACUGAGGCAGUAGAGUCACCAUCUAGGUGACAGACCUAGCUGCCUACCAUGAGGACCGCAGCGUGCGGACUGCUGCGCAGAGGGUAUGGAGUGUCAGGGAAGGAUGGGAAGGAGGCCUGCCCUUGAGUGAGUAAGAGUUACUCUGCACAAAGCGGGGAAGAGGGCAUCUGGGCAGGACAAGGCAUCCAGGCCUGAGAGCGGCUGUUUGGGGAGCUGUCUGUGGGUGGAGUA